AGUGAACGCUGGCGGUAGGCCUAACACAUGCAAGUCGAACGGCAGCACAGUAAGAGCUUGCUCUUACGGGUGGCGAGUGGCGGACGGGUGAGGAAUACAUCGGAAUCUACUUUUUCGUGGGGGAUAAUGUAGGGAAACUUACGCUAAUACCGCAUACGACCUACGGGUGAAAGCAGGGGAUCUUCGGACCUUGUGCGAUUGAAUGAGCCGAUGUCGGAUUAGCUAGUUGGCGGGGUAAAGGCCCACCAAGGCGACGAUCCGUAGCUGGUCUGAGAGGAUGAUCAGCCACACUGGAACUGAGACACGGUCCAGACUCCUACGGGAGGCAGCAGUGGGGAAUAUUGGACAAUGGGCGCAAGCCUGAUCCAGCCAUACCGCGUGGGUGAAGAAGGCCUUCGGGUUGUAAAGCCCUUUUGUUGGGAAAGAAAAGCAGCAGGUUAAUACCCCGCUGUUCUGACGGUACCCAAAGAAUAAGCACCGGCUAACUUCGUG
Molecule: ribosomal RNA, 492 nt
Filed under: uncultured bacterium
Lineage: Bacteria
Description: partial 16S ribosomal RNA
Rfam family: Bacterial small subunit ribosomal RNA
Source: RNAcentral